GAUGAACGCUGGCGGCGUGCCUAAUACAUGCAAGUCGAGCGAACGGACGAGAAGCUUGCUUCUCUGAUGUUAGCGGCGGACGGGUGAGUAACACGUGGAUAACCUACCUAUAAGACUGGGAUAACUUCGGGAAACCGGAGCUAAUACCGGAUAAUAUUUUGAACCGCAUGGUUCAAAAGUGAAAGACGGUCUUGCUGUCACUUAUAGAUGGAUCCGCGCUGCAUUAGCUAGUUGGUAAGGUAACGGCUUACCAAGGCAACGAUGCAUAGCCGACCUGAGAGGGUGAUAGGCCACACUGGAAGUGAGACACGGUCCAGACUCCUACGGGAGGCAGCAGUAGGGAAUCUUACGCAAUGGGCGAAAGCAUGACGGAGCAACGCCGCGUGAGUGAUGAAGGUCUUCGGAUCGUAAAACUCUGUUAUUAGGGAAGAACAUAUGUGUAAGUAACUGUGCACAUAUUGACGGUACCUAAUCAGAAAGCCACGGCUAACUACGUG
This 497-nucleotide ribosomal RNA is filed under the name uncultured bacterium. RNAcentral's name for it is "partial 16S ribosomal RNA". It matches the Rfam family "Bacterial small subunit ribosomal RNA", at positions 28 to 507 of the family's 1533-position model. The record is from RNAcentral.